AUCCCGGAUAGGUAAUAGUUAAGGUUAAAGGCUUAACUAGCCAAAGACUUCCGUAGUCGAGGCUGAAAGGUCGAUCGAUCACAUUGGGUAUGAAAAAAGCCCAAAACGUUAAGUGCAGCAGUGGGGAAUAUUGGUCAAUAGCCUAACGGCUGAACCAGCAACUUGGGGGAAUGUAUAGCUUCGGCUACUUAUGAUCUGGAUUAUUAUUAUUGUAAAAGAUAAUAAUGAUUUUGUCGUUUUAUAUAGGAAUCUCCUAUAUAUAUUAGGUAUCGAAAGAUGCCUACGAACACAUUAUAAGAUCGAUUUAAUCGAAUAAAGUUCUAGAUGGAUCACUGAUGAUGACAAUUUUCCAUCUACAUGUCUUGACCAAUUUACGUGCCAGCAGUCGCGGCAAUACGUAUAAGACUAGUGUUAUUCAUCUUUAAUAGGUUUAAAGGGUACCUAGACGGUA
Molecule: ribosomal RNA, 451 nt
Filed under: Rickettsiales bacterium
Lineage: Bacteria; Pseudomonadati; Pseudomonadota; Alphaproteobacteria; Rickettsiales
Description: bacterial SSU rRNA
Rfam family: Bacterial small subunit ribosomal RNA
Source: RNAcentral